GGAUGGGCAUGCGGCGCAUUAGGUAGUUGGUGGGGCAACGGCCCACCAAGCCGACGAUGCGUAGGGGUUCUGAGAGGAAGGUCCCCCACAUUGGAACUGAGACACGGUCCAAACUCCUACGGAAGGCAGCAG
RNAcentral lists this ribosomal RNA (132 nucleotides) under uncultured bacterium. Its description in RNAcentral is "partial 16S ribosomal RNA". It matches the Rfam family "Bacterial small subunit ribosomal RNA", at positions 223 to 354 of the family's 1533-position model. The record is from RNAcentral.